Molecule: small RNA, 522 nt
Filed under: Pongo abelii (Sumatran orangutan)
Lineage: Eukaryota; Metazoa; Chordata; Mammalia; Primates; Hominidae
Description: processed transcript
Source: RNAcentral
UGGGUCUGUGAACAUUGAUGGCCCCAAACAAGGAACAUGGUUAUUUUCCGCAAUGUAGUGGAUGGGCAACCUUUUACACACUGGUAUGAUAAUGGGAGCAACCAAGUGGCUUUUGGGAGAGGAAACAGAGGAUUCAUUGUUUUCAACAAUGAUGACUGCUCUACCUAGUUUUUUGGUAUAGUUUCUUCCCUUCUCUGUCUCCUUGUGAUAAAUAACAUUUUUAAAGGAUAUGUAUAAAUAAUAUGGAUCUUGUGGUUAGUGAUUUGCUUCAGGAGAUUUGAGUUUUAGUUCUGAAUCUUCUCAUUAUUGGCCUUUCAUCUGUGAUUCUUGUCUUCCUGCUGGCACAUACUGUGAUGUCAUUUCUGGAGGUAAAAUUAAUGGCAAUUACACAGGUAUUAAAAUCUAUGUUUCUGAUGAUGGCAAAGCUCGGUUUUCUAUUAGCAAAUCUUCUGAAGAUCCAUUUAUUGCAAUACAUGCUGAAUCUAAAUUAGAAAAUUUAAAAUUAAAUGCGUAUACUCAAAA